RNAcentral lists this transfer RNA (72 nucleotides) under Ornithorhynchus anatinus (platypus). It matches the Rfam family "tRNA". Rfam says of the family: Transfer RNA (tRNA) molecules are approximately 80 nucleotides in length. Lineage: Eukaryota; Metazoa; Chordata; Mammalia; Monotremata; Ornithorhynchidae. The record is from Rfam by way of RNAcentral.
AGCAAGGUGGCUCAAUAUAAAGAGCACAGGACUGGAAGUCUAAGGGCCUGGGUUCUAAUCCCUGCUCUGCCA